Molecule: ribosomal RNA, 504 nt
Filed under: uncultured bacterium
Lineage: Bacteria
Description: partial 16S ribosomal RNA
Rfam family: Bacterial small subunit ribosomal RNA
Source: RNAcentral
GACGAACGCUGGCGGCGUGCCUAAUACAUGCAAGUAGAACGCACAGUUUAUACCGUAGCUUGCUACACCAUAGACUGUGAGUUGCGAACGGGUGAGUAACGCGUAGGUAACCUGCCUGGUAGCGGGGGAUAACUAUUGGAAACGAUAGCUAAUACCGCAUAAUAUUAAUUAUUGCAUGAUAAUUAAUUGAAAGGUGCAAUUGCACCACUACCAGAUGGACCUGCGUUGUAUUAGCUAGUAGGUGAGGUAACGGCUCACCUAGGCGACGAUACAUAGCCGACCUGAGAGGGUGAUCGGCCACACUGGGACUGAGACACGGCCCAGACUCCUACGGGAGGCAGCAGUAGGGAAUCUUCGGCAAUGGACGAAAGUCUGACCGAGCAACGCCGCGUGAGUGAAGAAGGUUUUCGGAUCGUAAAGCUCUGUGUAAGAGAAGAACGGGUGUGAGAGUGGAAAGUUCACACUGUGACGGUAUCUUACCAGAAAGGGACGGCUAACUACGUG